This 662-nucleotide ribosomal RNA is filed under the name bacterium MRK7. RNAcentral describes it as "bacterial SSU rRNA". It matches the Rfam family "Bacterial small subunit ribosomal RNA", at positions 37 to 696 of the family's 1533-position model. The record is from RNAcentral.
AGGCGGCUGCUACCUGCAGUCGAGCGGCAGCGGAAGUACCUUGCUACUUUGCCGGCGAGCGGCGGACGGGUGAGUAAUGUCUGGGAAACUGCCUGAUGGGGGGGGAUAACUACUGGAAACGGUAGCUAAUACCGCAUAACGUCUCAAGACCAAAGAGGGGGACCUUCGGGCCUCUUGCCAUCAGAUGUGCCCAGAUGGGAUUAGCUAGUAGGUGGGGUAACGGCUCACCUAGGCCACGAUCCCUAUCUGGUCUGAGACGAUGACCAGCCACACUGGAACUGAGACACGGUCCAGACUCCUACGGGAGGCAGCAGUGGGGAAUAUUGCACAAUGGGCGCGAGCCUGAUGCAGCCAUGCCGCGUGUAUGAAAAAGGCCUUCGGGUUGUAAAGUACUUUCAGCGGGGAGGAAGGUGAAGAAGUUAAUAACCUCAACAAUUGACGUUACCCGCAGAAUAAGCACCGGCUAACUCCGUGCCAGCAGCCGCGGUCAUACGGAGGGUGCAAGCGUUAAUCGGAGUUACUGCGCAUAGAGCGCACGCGCGCGGUCUGUCGUGUCAUAUGUGAAAUCCCCGGGCUCCCCGUGGGAACUGCAUUCGACACUGGCAAGCUAGAGUCUUGUAGAGGGGGGUAGAACUCCGUGUGUAGCGUGAAAUGUGUAAAAA